GGGAACUCCACAGAGAAGAAAAUAGCAACGAGGCAACAGGGCCCCAAAGGUGGAAGUACAGCCUGAGAAACUUCAGCCAGCGCGGGACUGCUCUACCAGCCAGACUUGCUGCUCGCUCUUGCAGGGCAUGGUGUGGUCGUCUGCCUAGGAUGGGAAACUCAAGUCCAGAGACUUAAAUAACUUGCCAAAGAACACACAUCCAGUAAAUGGAGGAGCCAGGAUUCAAACCUCAGUGUGGCCAGCUCUGAAGCCCAGACUGACAGCAGUGACUUGAAUUCUCAAGUGAAAAUCAAGAAAAUGAGAGUGAUCUUUCGAGAAGCAGGAUGGAUUGAAGAAGGGCAAGACAAGAAGACAUCUCACUUAAGGGCCUGGUACACACCUCAGCUGAAAAGCCAAGAUUAUAUUUACAUAGGAUGAAUUCAACCAUG
Molecule: long non-coding RNA, 428 nt
Organism: Choloepus didactylus (southern two-toed sloth)
Lineage: Eukaryota; Metazoa; Chordata; Mammalia; Pilosa; Megalonychidae
Exons: 4
Source: RefSeq, a predicted model, not a curated record